This is a non-coding RNA of Elaeis guineensis (African oil palm), 5993 nucleotides long. The record is from RefSeq and is a predicted model, not a curated record. NCBI's taxonomy places the organism in Eukaryota, Viridiplantae, Streptophyta, Magnoliopsida, Arecales, Arecaceae.
AGACAUAAAGAGAGAGAGGGAGGUAGAGGUGAGAGCUUAGUGAAGAGAGACAUGGGUCUAAUCUGUGAAUGGGGCCGCGCCCCCUGCACGUGACUCGCCGCUCCUCUUCAAUCAGUCCUCUCCCUGUCUCGGCCCCAAAAAGUCCUUGCGAUCCUUCGUUUUCUCGGUGGGAUAGAGCUCUUCUGGAUGCGUCGGCUCUGAAAGAAAUACGAACUGGCAAGAUCAGAGGUUCAAUUUCCAUUUGUAGUAGGCCUCUGAUGUAAGUUGAUUCCCAUCCGCAGUAUGAAGCUAUACAUCUGUGUUAACUGAUAAUUUGUAAGAGUGCCAACUUGUAAGUGCCUGACAGAGACCAAGUUUCUUGAAAAUUUUUGGCUCUCCACAGAAUUUUAGUUGAUUGGUAAUUUGGAACAUUAGAUGCUUACAGAAUUUUAGGUAAGUUCGCAUUUCUAAAUUCUAAUCUAUAAUUUAAUCUGCAUACAUUAUGUAAAAAUUUUGGUUUUCUUAUUUAUUCUUACUCUCUUUUAAGUAUAUUAUGAUAAGUUUUUUGUUUCUUUUUCUUUAAGUCGUUUGGUAAUUUGGAAUAUUAGAUGCUUAAAUAAGGAUAUAAGAAAUCUUGUAUUUUUUGUCAUGGCUAUGGAAUCGAUGGGCAAUCAAGUUGGACUCUUCUUUUUACUGAAGAAUAUACAGAAAGUCUGCUAUAAUAAUCUAUAGGUGGAUCUCCAAAUCAUGUUGCAUUUCAAAAUGUCACAGAUAGGCUGCAUCUGACAUUUCUUUUAUAUGCUUGCCGGGAACAAGUAAACAAAAUAGACAUUAUCUGUUCUGCCAUCGCCUUUGAUUUGUCUAUAGUUCAAAAUAUCAUUAUAUGCUUUUGGUUUAUUUUGAGUCUUAUGUUUUCUUUUUCUCAUUCCAACCUUUUGGUACUCUUUGUGCAUUGGUUUUACUCUUUGCGCAUUGGUUUUCACUGUAUUUCCUUUCAACUUCUGCACCAAUUUGUGCUUACACCACCUUUUCCUGUGUAUACGAGAGAAUGCAGACGUAAACCCUCUCAUAGAUUCGGAUAGUGGGCAAAAUAGAUAGUUUUUCAUAGCUUCCAACCAUAUCAUUUUCAAUUUUGACCCUCUUGAAAGUGGAUUUAUGAAAUUAUGGCCGAGAUGACAGUGUCACAGGUCGUAAACAGAUGUUAUAGGACACAAGUAUGCAAAGGUAAAGAGCCAUGAGAAUGGGAACAAGGAAAUAUUUUUCUGUGAAUACUUCUAAACUUUUAUGACAUGCCUGUAUGCUUGUGUUUGUAUAUGUAGGCUUUACUGUAAGGUUUACUAGAUUUGAUAUCAGAUCUUAAUCAGGACACAUCUAGAAAUGGGGUUUUACAAGUAGAUAUUAUCUACCUUUGCUAAACCAAGGAUUUAAAUGCCAUGGACAUGACAUUCUGGCCAGUAAGUAGUACAACACGUGUUCUGCUGUGCUGAAACAAAAACAAGGAUUUAGGAGCCCAUUGGCUGUAUCAACCUGUCUGAAUUAGCAUUGGUCUAUAUGGCAAUACCGAGUGGUUUGGCCAAUUGGUACAACAUUUGUUCUGCUGUGCUGAAACAAAAACAAUGACUUAGGUGCCUGUUGGCUGUAUCGAGUUGUUUGGCUGGUCAGUAGGGGUGGACACCUCUGAAUCCCAAGUGAUUUGAUUGGCACCCAAUAUUGACCAAAUGUGGAAUGCUGAUACUGGUCCAGUAGUAUAGACAGAAAAUUGAAAACAUGGUCUGAAUUACUGGAAAGAAAAAAAAAAACAAAGAUCCUAUAUUUUCAAGACCCCUUGUCUCUAUGUCAAGUCAUCUAAAAAUGGAUGGUUCAAAUCAAGGUUUUAAAUACCGAUAUCGGAUCCCAUGCUGGUCGGUACCGUACCAUACCAUACCAAACCAGCCCAUAUCGAUAAUAAAAAAUUCAAAAAAAAUUUCCAUCCAACGGCCAAAAAAAAAAAGAGAAAGAAAAUCAAGAUGUACCGCACCAUGCCGGUGCUGUACCACAUCAUAUCAGCUUGUACCGCACCAUACUGGCCUGUACCGCACUAUAUCAGCCUUACUGCAUGGUUUGAUCUGAUUCAGGUAAUUUUUCAAAAAAUCGGUCCGAACUGAACCGGUUCUCCAUCGAUACGGUAUGAUACGAGGUGUACCGGUCAGUUCGAACCGGUACAGAAUAUCAUGAUUCAAAUAACAUUAGUCUGCUAUAUAGGCAGAGUAUAUGAUAAGGCCAAUUAGCUUUGGCCACAUAUCAAGACAAAUUCAAGGAUGGAAGUUUCAAUGUGAAGAUUUAAACAUCUGUAUAUGAUGUACUAUACCUAAAAUGCUUAAACAUAGAAAAUUAUUUAUUUUGGAGGCCACUUGCAUGUGCAUGAAGUUGUCAGAACUGAAUGAUUUAAAGAGCACAAACAAUCUCUUGUUUGAUGUACGGAUAGAAGGCAUCUGAAACCAUGGAACUUGGUGUGCAUGCGCUUUAACUUUUUGGACCUCUAGAUCAAAUCAAAAUAGGGAGGAAGAGAGGGGUUCAAACAUUGUCGAAUGAGCUAAAGCUCGACAACCUUUAUCUCUAAUGGUAUUGUUAUAAUCUAAUCAGUGAUUAAAAUUAAAUAUGUCAUCAUGUGCCAUGUACUUGCCUUUUUUGGCCGGAUUUGAUGCCUGGUUGAAUAACAAGAAGUCUUAUCCUUUUUCAAGUGCUUGAAAAUAAAAUAAGGAUCUUUACCUCAUUUGGCGGUGCAUGUAUAACUCUUUCUUCCCAUCCUGUUUACAUAUUACCUCUGCCCCUCACUGUUUGUGUGGGAAAACUAAAAGAGGUGCAUGUUGUGUAUACAUGUGCAUCUUUGUGUACACAUGCAUAGCUUUAAUUUUACCACAUCAUAACUAAUUUGGUAGUGCCCCAUGCUCAAACAUUUGGUGGAUCAUCCAAGCCAAUGAUUCCCACAAUUUAAAGAACUCUACAUACUUUAGGGCACAUGGAUUUAAGUAGUUUGUGUGUUUCCCAGUUAUAGAUGAAACAAGUCUUAUAUUCAAUAUUUGAUAAGCUGUGCAUUUAAGUAAAUACCUGAUAAUGGGUAAAAUCUCCAAAACAAAUUUUGUUCAAAUACUUUGAAUGCUUAAGUUCAUGAUGAACAUUGUGAUUCAUUGAUUUGAAUGUCUCACCUCAUAGUUUAAGUGUUUCAAAUGUUGUGCAUCAUGUUUGAAGAUAUUGAUUUAUCAUCUAGAUGUUCCGUUAUUUGCCCUAAUAAAAUCAAACCUUCAAUCUUCAUGGUAAAAUUUUGUCUUUGUCUAUCUACAUGCAUACACAUAUAUAGUAAGCAUACAUAACAUGCCAUAACCAUAACCACUAGGCCUUGUUUCAGUUGUUAAGUGUUGGCUUUAUGAAGAUUCACCUGCCAAUGAUUCCUAGUAUGAGCUACCUUGGUGUUAUUCAAAGUUUUUUCAAAUCUUUGUUAUAACUAUCACCCAUAUUGUCUUAGGUCCUUCCAUCCUUUCUAAUCUCCUUUGAUGCAUUCUAGUAUCUCACCUUACUAGGGCUACAUAAUCUUAUCUCUACAUGCCUGUACCAUCACAAUCAGUUAGUUAUCCAUCACUUUGUCCAUGACUCAUGCGAGUGCUGAAUCAUAUAUACGAAUGCAUACAAUAUCAAGCAUAGAUACAAAAAUAAAAGGUCCAGACCUGGACUCGCAUUGGACUUUGAAAUUCGCAUUGGACUGUUUUGUGGUAGUCUUAGGCAUUUCAUGUGGAUGCAUUGGGUUUUUUCUCAAAGGUGCCAUUUUGCCCUAAGUGUCACUGAUGUGUAAAAUAGGAUAUGAAAUGAAUAGUUAGGUUUCAUCCAAUUUUGCUAUGUGGGUUUGGAAUUGAAGCUAACCAAAAUACUUUGGUUCAUCUCUAACCAAAAUGUAGAUUAUAAAAGUGACAUGUUCAAUUUUCUAAGUUGGAUGAUCUGAAUGAGUGUUUGAUUCGGGUUAGUUUCAGCUAAUUUUCCUAUUGGCCAGAUCUGAAAUUUUUGGUUACAGCCUACAAAAGCAUAACCAAAGCUGAACCUUGCUUCCUGAUCCAACUGGCAUACUCUAAGGGAUUAGGUUUCUGAAGUUUAAUUUCCUUUUGGGUGAUAUAUCUAAAUGAUGCUUAUCUUUAUUAAAAUUUGUUGAGUUCUGUAAAUGUUUUUGGUGGACUAAUGUAUCAUUUGUGGGAUCAUCUUCUUUUCUUGUUUCUGUAGAUCUUACAGUUUUAUUUACCACCUCUAGUUCUAAAAAGGAAAAGAAAUAAAUGAAUCACCCAGAUUGAACCGAACAUGCAUGCUUGCAACUGGUUUUCUCCCUUUAUUCCAUGUGAAUUCCUGGGACAAUUUAGAACUGUUCGAUAGAAUGGUCUAUUAAGUGCAUUAUAGUCCAAACUUAUGCAGAGCACUCUAUAACAUUUAAAUAAACAAAGAUAAAUUGGUUACUUUGUUUUUUUUUUUUUUGGGUCAAUUUGCAUGCUUUUAUGGGAAGGAUUUAAAUCUUGGUAGCAGGCCCCAUCUCAGUUUGCACUUGGGAUGACAGUAUGGUACUGGGACAACAUGGUAGUCGAGAUGGAACAAAACAGUCAGUAACAACAUAAAUAAAAAGGAACAAUUAAAAAAAAAUGUGUCCUGGUCUGUCGCAAUCCUUCCUGAUUACCCUGAUGCAUCUCCAGUGUCGGGACUUAACUAGAGCAUUUGGAUGGACUGGGAUGAUUAGGAUAUCCCAGUUCAAGAGAGAACCAGUGUCCCACACCCAUCCCACCCUUGUUUUUCUAUUGGAGCGGUAAACAGUACCAAGGAUGCCAUCUUGUUUCUGUGGGACCUAAAUCCUUAAUAUAUAAUCUUACUAAUAGUAUUUUAAUCUCACUAGUUCUCUGUGACUUUGUAAAAGAUCUAUGACGUCAAUAGUACUGGUAACUCCUAAGAUCCCAAGAAAAAUCCAUCCAUCUGCCCCUUUUGUUGGAAACUUUAUAUGUAUACCUUGUGCAUACUCAACAACCUUACCUUGCAAAAAUUUAUGUAUCGUUUAAAUAACUUUGCUUAUUAGUAUUUUUUUUUUAAAAAUCUAUCACAUUUCUUUUUUGUCUUUCUUUCAUUGUGCUAAAGUUACUGAAAUUAACCAUCAUGGAUUGGCUGCGUUUUCCAUUUCUUGCCAAACAGCUUUGACUUUUGUUUUGUUUGUUUUUGCUUGUCAGUCCCUCUUUUUUAUUAUGUUUUGCUGAAGUACCGAAGUUAGCGAUGUUGGUUAAUGGAUCUUGUACGCUUUGAUGUCGAGUGUUGAUUGUUGCUUGUUAUAAUUGAUUCCGUACUUACAAUUAGAAUCCGGAAUUUGUUUUAGUUGUAUUUAAAGUUUAACAUAACUCUGUUUUUUUUGUUAAACCAAUCAAGCAGUGGAUUAAAAUUUGAAUUAUUUAGUGACAUCAGGAAGCUAGUUGACCAUGCAAUUGGAGAAAAAAUUAUGAGCUUGAAAUUUUAAACCUUGUGGAAAUGUAGUUAUUUUGAACCUAAAUUUGAAUUCUGCUUCCUAAUAGCUUAAGUGAGGUGACUCUAAAUUUUUGAUUAACUAAUGUUUUUGUCAAUUUUUCUCACUCAUUGAUGCCAGUCUUAUCUUAGAUGAAAUUAGUAGAGGUUUGAUUUUAAAAAUUGUUGGUAAAAUUUUAAAAGAGAAGUCUAACUUAGAAGAAGUCAUAGGCUGCAUUGUUUUUUUAAUAAUUUAGAUGUUGAAAUUUUUAGGUACAUAUUUGUAUAAAAAGAAAAAAGAUACCAAAAGGGAUGAUUUAAUGUGAAAGGGAGCGAAGACUAUGCUUUCUGAAAAUUUUAUUGAAAGUGGACAUGUUCAAUGUCAUGACCGUGGCAUUUUUUUUGUAUUAUUACAAUAUUUUGGCUAGAAAAUAAAACAUGUUAUUCUAAAGAAUUCACAUCAUCAUAAAAUAUCAUGAUUUUGUAAUAUCCAAAAACUUCCUUAAUUAAGUUUCAAUACUUGU